This 105-nucleotide non-coding RNA is filed under the name Actinomycetota bacterium. Its description in RNAcentral is "Actinobacteria bacterium SAM-IV sequence". It matches the Rfam family "SAM (S-adenosyl methionine) riboswitch aptamer". From Rfam's summary of the family: SAM-IV is a mRNA element that regulates gene expression via direct sensing of S-adenosylmethionine (SAM or AdoMet). The record is from RNAcentral. Lineage: Bacteria; Bacillati; Actinomycetota.
GUUCACGAGUCCUAUGUAUUAGCCCCGGCUUAGUAGGCGGCAACCCUCCACCGCGGCGGGGUGCUCCGGGUGACGAACAGGUCGUUACGGCGACAAGCGCAGGUG